UCCAGUGUAUUGAUUAACACUAGCUCAGGACCACACCUACUAGUGGUGGGUGGAACUGGUGGUGCUUAUGAUAUUUGGAUAUUUGAUAUUAACAAUAAAUCAUGGAAGGAAUUGGUUAAUUUACCAGUCAAUGUCACUAAUAGAUGCUGGCAUUCUCUCUCAGUUUGGAGUGUGACUCCAACCACUAACUGGAUAAUUGUGUUUGGAGGAAGCUCAUCAUACACUGAUACAGCAGUUGUUGAACUCAGAUAUACUAGUAAUAAUGAUUGGUCUACUAGUAUAAUACC
This is a long non-coding RNA of Amphimedon queenslandica, 287 nucleotides long. RefSeq lists it as uncharacterized. The record is from RefSeq and is a predicted model, not a curated record. The transcript has 3 exons. Lineage: Eukaryota; Metazoa; Porifera; Demospongiae; Haplosclerida; Niphatidae.